ACGGUAUUGCAAUGAGAACAAUUUAAAACCCUUAGCGAGAAUCAAGUGGAGGACAAGUCUGGUGCCAGCACCCGUGGUAAUUCCAGCUCCACUAGCGUAUAUUAAAGUUGUUGCAGUUAAAAAGCUCGUAGUUGAACCUCUGUCUGGGGCUAGUUUUGGCUUUGGUCAGGCUAGUUCUAGGCAUCCGCCUACAAGACUUAGAGGGCAUUCAGUUGUUCACUAGGAGGAGUAGGCAUUUUACUUUGAAAAAAAUUAGAGUGUUUAAGGCAGGCAAUCGCCCGCAUAUAUUAGCAUGGAAUAAUAGAAUAGGACACUUUUCCAUUUCGUUGGUUAUUGGAAUCGUGUAAUGAUUAAUAGGGACAGUUGUGGGCAUUUGUAUUUAAUUGUCAGAGGUGAAAUUCUUGGAUUUAUUAAAGACAAACUAACGCGAAAGCAUUUGCCAAGGAUGUUUUCAUUAAUCAAGAACGAAAGUUAGGGGAUCAAAGACGAUCAGAUACCGUCCUAGUCUUAACUCUAAACUAUUCCGACUCAAUGUUUGACUGGCUUAUAUAACCAGUUGAGCGUUGUAUGAGAAAUCAAAGUCUUUAGGUUCUGGGGGGAGUAUGGUUGCAAAGCUGAAACUUAAAGGAAUUGACGGAAGAGCACAACCAGGAGUGGAUUCUGCGGCUUAAUUUGACUCAACACGGGGAAACUUACCAGGUUAAAACAAUAGUGGGAUUGACAGUUUGAGAGCGCUUCCUUGAUUGGUUGGGUGGUGGUGCAUGGCCGUUCUUAGUUGGUGGAGUGAUUUGUCUGCUUAAUUGCGUUAACGAACGAGACCUUAACCUGCUUACUAGACUGGCGAUCAUCAAUCGUUAGCUCUUCUUAGAGGGACUUUGGUUGUUUUAACUCCAAGGAAGUUUGAGGCAAUAACAGGUCUGUGAUGCCCUUAGAUAUCCUGGGCCGCACGCGUCAUACAAUGACUAGUUCAGAAAGUUUUCUCCUGACCCGAAAGGGGAUGGGUAAUCUUGAUAAUACUAGUCGUGUUAGGGAUCGAUCUUUGCAAUUAUAGAUCUUGAACGAGGAAUUCCUAGUAAGUGCGGUUCAUCAGACCGUACUGAUUACGUCCCUGCUCUUUGUACACACCGCCCGUCGCUUCUACCGAGUGGGUGGUCCGGUGAGAUAAUUGAACUUCGCAGGUAACUGAGAGGAAAGAUUAUCAAACCUAUCCACCU
This 1214-nucleotide ribosomal RNA is filed under the name metagenome. RNAcentral's name for it is "SSU rRNA". It matches the Rfam family "Eukaryotic small subunit ribosomal RNA", at positions 503 to 1774 of the family's 1831-position model. The record is from RNAcentral.